UUGAAUAAUACCAGAUAAAUGUCAUAAAAGUUAGCAAGGACUAUCGUUCAUUGCUGCCAAUAGAUAAAAAGCGUGCAUAUAUAGGGGAAUUGCAUACCGCAGCGCAGUAGUGAACCACUUUAACUUCAUCGAGUUCCACGUUCUCCGGAUGGCGCCAAAGCAUCGCUAGAACCAAAUUGUACGCCAAAGAAAUGGGUUUGUACGUAGUUUGGAAGAACAUGUUCAAGAAAUCCUGUUCCACAUCCAGGUAGAAAAAUUGUACCAUCAGUAUUUAAAACUUGGUCCGUGGUGCAUGAAGUAUGGAUUCUAGUUCUUGACCUUUUCUAACCGAAGUUAGAGCUACGAUUUUUACAAACCUAAACUCCAGAAGAACCUCCAAACCUAACCGAAGUAUGGAUUCUAGUUAAGACCACGGAAAAGGUAUUAAGUGGUAGUCAAAUUAGAUAGUCAAAGGAGAGAGAAUAAAUGGAUGUGGCCGCAAAGAUGUAUCAGACCUGCUCUGCAAAUAGUGUUGGCGGAGUGAUUUGGAGAGUUUCAAGCAGAUUUUCGUAGGUCAAACGGCUGGGCUCAAAGACAAACAUGCCAGCGUUGAAAUACAGAGGAGGAGGUGAACCCAUAUCAGCUGGCCAGGUAACUUUGUCCGGGCACUGUUGGCAAUAUCCAAUGGAGUACUGUGGGGAAUUACUCCAUGUCUUCUCGCAGAAGCAAUCCAUCACUGCAUAAAAGUAUCCAUCUGCUGCGUCAAACAGAUGGUCGAUGUUGUCAUAAACUUGGAUGUCUGCGUCUAGGUAGAUCAUCUUGCUGUACUCCUCAAACUGUCAUGACCACAGUUAUUUGAUUAGUCACUCCUAAUAGUAACCCAAAUAUGAUUGCUCUAAAAUACAAAACAGAAAUGCUAGAACGGCUUAAACAUAGAGCUGUGGAUUAAGGAUUACUGUAACAUAUUAUAGCAUCACUCCUGAUUAUAUAGAUAGAGUGUGGCGGUGAUGGUUUUUUUCUUUUAUUGUUGUGGUGAAAUAAUGAAAUUAGGAUAUAAAAGGAUAUUUUCUGGCUUUUGCGUUUCUCAGCCUUUGUCUUGGGGCUUCUUUGUUUCUUAAGGAAGAUUCUAUCUAUCAAGUGCAGGUCAAGCUUAACCUAAGCUGAUCCAAGUGACAUGGGCCAUAGAAGAUUUUGGCACACAAACAGGAAGCAGAAACAGAUACGCUUCACUGAGUCAUGAUACCAUAGGCAGGCAAUGGCUAUGCACACAUCUGGUAGACCUAUUAGACUAAGACUUGAAAUGUUUUUCAGGUUUACUUACGUUCCAUAUGCGGAGCUUGGAAUAAUUGAUGACAUAGUAAGCCAUAGCAAACUGAAUCUGAUUUUCAGGAGGGUAAAUGGGCUCAAUUUCACGAACAAUGCAACCCUGUGACCUUAAUAUUUCCCGAUGUUCCUCGGGAACAUCUGGGAGGAUGGCAACCACAAGGGGGUAGGCACUGUUAACCUUCCUCAGACCUUUAGCCAAUCCAACCACUCCUUUCACGUAGUCACCAUUUCCAGCUAAAAAUGUAACGUACGCUCUCUUCGAGUAGCCUGUGUUGCUGAGUGUUGAGACUUUCCCUGCGGCGGUGAAGGCUUCUGCGGGUACUUCUUGAGGGGCCAUGGCUAAGCUUGAUGUUGUCGGGGUGGAUGGGAAUGCUUUUCGAGGAGUGUUGGGGAAGUAAAUUAGCAAAAACCUAGGAGGAGGAGGAUGCCUUCGUUGCUGGGUUCAUCAAUGGCAUCCUCAGCCUCCUUAAAUAGCAAAAAUAGGAAUCUCACAUGCAGCCUAAAUGAACCAUAAAUGAAAUUCAUAAAUAAUUUAUUCUCCUUUUCCUUUUCAUUUCAGGAAAAUAUAAAUUGUCUAAAGUCAUGGGUCAUUGUUAAAUUUGACAGGAACGAAUGAAUGACGACCAUUUUUUGCAGCUCACCUUACCCUUAUAGGAUUUGCUAGAAUGGAGCCAAUGAGGGAGAGUCAAUUGCAAAAUGGUCAUCGUAUUAAAGUCUUUUUCGCAUUUAGUUAAUUCUUCCUAAUUGGAAAUCGAGGGUAAGGAAAUGACAAGGCUCUGGAGUGGAUGUCCUUGUCUUCGGAAUAUUUAUUAGAAAGAUUUUUUCGGGUCUGAUAUCUAAAUUUAAAAUCGGAUUUGGGAGUCAAUAGAUAUGUGAUUGGAUCAAGAAAAGGAAACACAGGGGGCGUAGAUAAACUAUGCUUCGAUGUCGUGAAAAUUACUACACCCUAUACUAUGGAGGCUUUCAUCUUGUAGCUUAAGCACGGCAAUGAAGGAAAAAAACACAUUCCCUUUUGCGCUUGAUGACUAAUGAAUCUAGGGAUAUGAUCAUAUACAUUGAUUAUUCAGUAACAACAAAUUAUGCAUUAAUCGCACACUUUCAGGUCAGAUCCAUUCUCGCAAUUAUUUCGUCUUAUUUGUUUUUCUUCCCUUCCCCUAAUCCGACACAAUCUUUCUUUUCUUUUCGUUAUUAGUAAAAGAAACCCACCGGCUUGGAGAAGCUGCUACAAUUUUUUUUUUUUUCGAAUAAUAAGAACAGUUUGUAUAAUAGCCGAAUCUAAGGAGAGGAGGAGAGGAAGCCACAACUAGUGAUCGGAGAAAGGCAAUGAUUGAACUUUUGAUCUCUUAUUUCCAUCAAGACUUUGAAAACGUUUUGGUGACCAACAGCCCAAAAAACUGCUAGAAUGACGUCUUGGAGGAGCUGCUAGAAUGCAUGUUAAAAUCCAUACAGGAAAAACUGCCUGACCUAUGAUGCUGUUGUGAGCGAUGUCACAUGUUGAAACAGUCUUGAAUUUGCUUAAAAUAUUGAAUAUUUUAGCCUCAAAUUUCCAAGCUUUUUUAAAUUUUUUUGGGGGCGUUAAUGGAAGUCACUGACCUAGAAACUUCUUUAGAAUACCAGAAACUCCCAAUUUUUUGUAACCAAAAUAAAUGAAAAAGCAAAGAAAGAGGGCCGGCCAUCGACCUCCGGAACUUGUAGCCCAUAUAAUCGUAAACGCAUCAUUCUUGUAUUCUAAAACAUAGAAGAUCGAGACUCAACACCAUCAAUUUGCUUCUUUCUCAAUUACCUUAUUUAUAUUACUAUUAUCCUUGGAUUAUUGGAACAUUUGCAUUAAGAAAGUGGCAGUGCUGAAUUUGAAGAACUGAGCGUCCGCAAGAACCAAUACAACGAACAGCAAUUGAAACCAACAAAGGAAACAAAAAUUAGGUAUUGAUGUUGCUGAAAAGCAAUAAUCACUUCGAGGAAGAAGAGUUCAACAUCUGGACGCAGACCAUGCAGUAAAUGGCUACCAAGCAACAGGGGAAGAGGGAGAAGGCCAAAAUUUGCAGGCGGGAGAAUUUCUAUGGAAAUUGUGCAGAUGGCAAUCCCAGAAGCUUGCAUGUUAUGAUGGUAAUGACAAACGCGAAAAGGGGAUUCUCUGCGUCCCCGAGGUGAUGAUAAUCAGGUAAUGCGAUCAAAUUCUCGAUAUCGAUUUUCAAUAUCUUAUCAAAAUAUGCAAGAAUUUGGAAUUUAAUCAAUCAUUCGGAAAAACAAGAAAAAUCUCAAUGAAUUUAGCCUGCAUGGUUCCUUGUUAAAUUUUAGAGUAUAAAUUAAGAAACAACACAACACUUGUAAUUCAUAGUGAAAAUAAAAAAGAAAAUAGCUUAUUAACACUCGUAUUGAGACUCGAAAAAAUGAAUUUAGAUUUUUUAUUAAACUACUCCGUAUAUAUAAAGAGUGCAGAAAACAACUCUACACAAAUCCCAAUAUGAUGUACAAAACUCAAACAAACAUAAACUAGUCAAAAAACAAUAAAUAUGGAACUAUGUUUACAAAUAGACUCAUUGAACAACUACCUUCAAAAAUCUGCAGUAAAUUUGCAUAUCUAUGUAUCAAUUAUGAUCCAUCAAACUAAGGUAAAUUGCAAGAGUGGAAUAAAUUAAGGCCGUCUUUAGCACAUGAGGUCCAUGGUUCGCGAACCAUUAUGUAUCAAAAUUAAUUUCCUUUUUAGUAGAUUCGAAGGGAUUAGAAAGAAUAUACAAAUAUAUACAUGGGAAUCAUUAUCAUUAUUAUUAUUUUUAAAUUUGUCUUUCAAGAACUUAACAUCCCAAUGAUGAAUAACCAGAUGAACGUUUGGGUGGAAACUAUCACGAGCGAUGAUUAGGAUUGAAAGCGUGGAGGUCUAUCCCACCGAAAGGAUAUUCGUAAAACGUUCAAAUGAUUGAAGAGAAUUGUAGAAAGAUGAUGGCAAUCAUUUUCAGAAGAAUAUACCAUCAGCUUUAUGAACAAGUUGGAUCCCUGACCCUGACUGAUGUUCUCGAUUCCUUGUCCUGCUCCAGCUUUAGCUACCGUUCACAGAGUCCAAAAGGUCUCUCAGCAGGACAGAUGAAGAGGGAUUCUUUCCUUAGUACCCACGGCAUGUUUUAUGAUUCAGCCACCAUUGUUCGACAUGCCUCCUCGAAAGUGCUAUUCCCUCAGUCUUCUUCAAGGGUCAUUGCAUUGUUUAUCGUAAGUUUCUGAUCUUAUUUGCUGCAAAAUCAAUUCAGUUAAAACCCCAUAGAUCGUGUUAAUUCUCUUCCAUAUGAAGAAAAUAGCUCAAAGACCAGAUAAAAGAGCUCACUAUUUGCUUCCUACCUCCUUAGAAGGUAUAUGGUGGAGAAAAAAAAUGGUCUCUGUUGGAAGUACUUCUAAUUCCCCAGAUUGGUGUAUAAACGAGGAAGUUGCAACACAAAAGUAAGUGCAUUAUUUUUAUGUAACUGAAAUACAAGGCAAUUAUUUAUCUAAAUAAACAACAAUGAAUGAAAAAAGUGAGAAGAGCCAACUAAAGAAGAACAAGGAGGUCGGGAGUCCAAGGCUGGGCUUCGAGGUUAGCUUAGUAUAAACAUGCUGUUAAUUGGAUGUAUAACAAAAAGUUAAUUCUCUCCUCGAGAAACUGCAGGUUUUCAAAUCAAUAAUUCUCUCCUCGAGAAACAUACAUGCAUGUUUAAUGUGUUGCUAAUGGAAUCACAUCUUGGCCUUUACCGGCCACAAAAGAGAAGCCCACUUAGAACAAAAUAAUUGAGGGAGUGCUGAUUGAAUACUACUUCGUUGCGUUUGGAUAAACAUGUCAGAAUAUAGACACAUUUAGAUUUACUUAAUGAUGCUUUUGCCAAAGAUUUUGAAAGUGCGAGAAAAAGAAUGAGUUAACUUUGAUAAACAAUAAAAAAUGAAGUGGCAAAAGAGCAAACCUCUUUUCAUCUAGAGUUUGACGGUAAUUAUUCAAUAUUAUCCAGUUGUCUAAAAGAUAAUGAUAGGUUUGGAUAAGGAAAGAAAAAGGUUAAACAAGAAAUUAAACUGGACCAACUUAAAAAAUUCAUGAAAAUGUCUAGUGCCUCGUAUACUGACACCUAAAAGGUGGUAGACUCUUUUUUUUCUUUUUUUUUUUUCUAUGGAUGGGCCAAAAAAUUACGUCGUUAUGUUUAUUCAACUGAAAUUAUAGGGAACCCACUAAUAAUAAUAAAAAAAAGGACCUUCGUUGUAGCUCUAAGGACGUCGGGGAAAUGAUUUAUGAAAAAGAAAAUACUUUGGUGGCAAAUUAUUCACAAAAUGAGUGCUAGUGCCCUACACCUACAGGAAUUUUUAAGAUGUAAUAAAUGAUCCGUAGUUGACAUUAGACCGACUUGGUAUAUAUUAAUCGUACCUUAUGCAAUACUAUUUGGUUACAUCAAUGUUAAGAUGCAUCACAUGUGGUAAAAAAAAACUGGGAAAUGUUACCUUUUGAUCAUGUGAAAUAGACAAUAAUACUCCUAUUAGUUGAUGAACUUGCAACUGUCCCUUUUAAUGAAAUUGUAAUUGAAAUGAAAAAUAAGGGUUCUAUCAAAAAAAAAAAAAAAAGAAGAAGAGUAAGGGUGUUUUUAUCCAUUCACACGAGUAAUGAAGUGAAAAGAAGUGUCGCUACCAAAUAAGGGAGCAGCAUCCAAAUUUCCUGAAAAAGUUUUGAUUCAUCGUCAGCCAAAACUUAUUUAAAAUGAGUGGUAUUCAGUCACCUUUAGCAUAAAUAGUUGAGCCUCUGCAGUAGUUGCAGCGUGAUCUUCGCGAGGAAUCUAAUCCAUUUAGCUUGAUGGACAGCAACUUCAGAAUUGUCUCUAGUUCAAAUUCUUCAAGAACUUGUGUUGGGUUUCAAGUAAGUAAUUUGUGAUGCAUUAUCAGAUAGGAUUAUGACGGUGAUUAACGAGGGAGUUUGAAUUCACACACACAAACACAUAAUUUGAGUUCUGCACUUUCCACGAAGCAAGAAUCUUAUCAGUGGAGAGGAAAGACCAAUCUGGAGAAGCAAAGGACAAAAGAUUGAAAUUAUGAUGGAAAACUCCAUGGUGAACAGAUGAUGAUCUCCAGGACCUGGUGGAGAGGAAAGGACAAAGAUUGGUAAAAGAAUGGGUGGGAAUAUGGAGCAAUCAUAGAGUGCGUACGUACAGAUUAAGGAGUAGGAUUCUGUAUCCAAAAUGUACUGUACCAAAGAAAGAAGAAACUACUGGGAAACAUUACAAUGAGUUGGAACCACAGGUUGGCACUUGGGCUCCAAGUGUCAAACUCUCAGUUUGCGAAUCUUUUCAAUCUCAAACCUGAGAGGUGAGAAGACGCUUCGAGAUUUCCAGAUACUGGUGGUCCUUGUGGGAUGUGGCAGGAGCUAGACAGAAUUUUUUUUUGGUAACGAACAAGUGAAUUCUCAGUUGUCCAUUGUCUGGAAUUUGGAUACAUAUGUUGUUGAAGUGCAUGCUAAUUAGGACCAAUCUGGAGAAGGUCACAAAUGGGAAGCUAUGUACUUACCUUUUAGUAUUAUCCAUUUCAGACACAAAAACAUUUGCGUGAAAGAUGAAGAUUUUAGGAUUUGACUUAAUGUGGUAUAGUUGUCUAAAUAUGCUGAACAUAAUUGUUGCUCAGCCAGUAGGAGUAUGAUUGACUUCGUUAGAGUUUGAGAAAUCAGAAAAUCGAGAGACGAUGCAGGUUGGAAAAACUUUUAGCCACAAAAAAAAAUAUAACAAGAGUCGUAAGAACAUUAGUUCUUCUAUGGAUCUUUUUAUGAUAGAUGAGUUUACUAGAAAAACGUAUACAGAAAGAAAAAAGAGGGAAAGGACAAUAAAUGAUGAUUAUAAGCAUAACGCAAGACUGGGUGAGUUGAAUACUUUUUCAUUGGUUGGUUGAACAAUGCUCAUGACUAGACAGACUCGUGAAAAUUCUUUUUUUCUUUCGUUUUUAUUUUAAAAAAAAAAAAGAGUUGUAUUUUGGUUUUAUGUGUUGAUAUUUUGAGGGACAAGUUACAAACCGCCAGAUUUUCAAGUGGACCGAAACAUUUUGACUCGUUACGAGUAUACUCUUUUGCACUCAUGCAUGCAACUGAAGCUUUUGAGGGUUGAAGGUAACUGCAGCAGAAAACAGCAUUCUUGGGGGCCAUUUGUAUUUAGUUCGAAAACUCUAAAGUCGACAAAAUUGUAGUGAAUAAGUUUGGCCUUCGCGAAUUGUGGCAGCAACUUUAAAGCACAAAUAAUGAGUACGUUUGCUCAUGUCUCUCCCGAUCGAAAGGAAAGCUCUAACCACACGACAGUGGCUACUACUUUCGUGUGGUGGUGGCAUGCUUGUCAUUUGCCAAUCGUACUUCUUUCUAGUCUUAUGCACUCAUCCCUCUACUCCAUUUUCAAUACAUAUGUGUGUGUGUGUGUUGGACUACACUAACAAAUUCUAGAUGUGCAAUUUGAAAACUUUUCAGUGUUAGUGCAAGUUUUUACAAGUCUAUAUUCAUUUGAUAUUUCAUCAAGUUCGCUAUUACAAAGGCUAUAUCCUUUCCUACAGGUCUUCAAGUUGAUUAAACUGCUGGAGGAGUUGAAGUUUUUAGAAUUCAUCAUUUUAAAUUUUCUCCUUUAUCAUUAUUGUUAGAUGCUGUAAUUACAAUUUCGUGUUGAACUUUGAAUUUUUUUUGACAAUUCUAACAUAUUCGAGCUUUAUCGUAGAUUAACCAAAUGUUUAAUGUGAAGGGACAAAUGCUAAUAAAAUAUUGUUCUAAAUUCUACCAUCAUAAACUCUUACAGAAAAAAAGAAUACAAAAACUCUUACUAAUCAAGCGAAUACGUGCUUUGGUUUACUUCAAAUCCGGGACUUUUUGGGGGAAAAUCAACAAAUUUGGUUACUCUGUUGCAAUUCCACCGCUGCCAUUGCCAGCUUAUGAUGGUUUGCACCUACCUUUGAUAUAGUACAGCAUAUCCUUACCUUUACUCCUAAAGGACCAUGAACAGCGCUCAGGCCGCUACGAGCCCAAACUUAUUGCCACAUUCAAAACGACGAAAGAGACGACGGAGGAAGACAGGGAAGCGAACAUAACAAACCCGGAAUGUACCAAUUUGUCAUUCAAAUGAAUUUAUUCCGACCAUCUCGUGAAGACGAAAGAGAAAAAAACAAAAAUAGAAAACUCAAUCCAUCUCGCGCAGUCAAUACUCUCAUAAGAAAGGGCAUCCAGUUACAAUAAAUAAAAGAGUUUUAAUCUUUACUACAAUAUUGAUAUCCAACUUAAGUUGCCCCAAAAAAAAAAAAAAAAAAAAACCAACUCAAAGUUCUAGAAAUACUUCACACAAACUUCGGGAAAAAAAAAAAGCCUUACACUCAAGUAAUUAAUAUUGGCAAGCUUUUCACAAUGAAAAGAAACAAUAAUAAUAAUGACAAACAAUAUAAAGAAUAUAACUAUGACGGCAUUGGCAAAACCCGAAGUAGAUACCAAGUUAAUCUCUGUUUACAGGCUCAUACUUCCAUAGCAGUACCCAAACCUAGACAAACACUAGCAAUUACUAAAAAACCAAGUAUUGCAUUGCAAAUAGUGACUUGAAAGAUACAAAAGGACUCAAAACUGAAAUCCACGACCAUGACAACAGAAACAACUAGAUAAAAAGCCGCCUGCAUCCAGGAUCAACCCAUCAAAAUGUUACCACAUCACUUUAUGCCUGCAAUGAUGUAGAAAAAUUAGAAGCAAAGAAGAACAAUUUACGAAAAGCAAAUUAUUAAGAAUUUUGUAAAACAGUAACUGUAAAUGCACAUAUAAGUACUUGCCUUAUUAGCAAUAUUGUUAGAGAGCCAAUCCAGGCCUUCGUAGAGCCCCUCUCCAGAAGUUGCACAGGUGCUUUGGAUAUACCUGCAAGUUCCAAGAAUAUAUCCAAAACUUGAGGAUACAGGAUCAAUGUGUAGAUAUUGACAAAAGCCUCAUGCUUGCAAAAUUUACCAGUGGCGCUGCCUGAGGGAGUGGAGGCCAAGCUUAUCAGUUAUUUCAGCAGCAUUCAUUGCAUUGGGAAGAUCUUGUUUGUUAGCAAAUACAAGUAAUACUGCAUCACGUAGCUCAUCCUGCAUUGGAGAUCAACAUUCAAUAACAUAUUUACACAUGUAUUCGCAAGUUACUUCAAAACUCAAUUCUGAAAAGAUCUUGCUUCUGGUUUCAGCAAUUAAGUUUUCAGGUUCAGAUGCUAAUUCUAAGCAUAUGAACCUUUGCAAUCCAUUCAUUGUCCUUAAAAAUAGAUCCUGCAUGCAUAUGUAUCAACAAAAAGGAUCUUGGGUAUUUAACUACAGCGUCCUUUUACGUGAAACUGGGUUAAACGUCAUAAGCUACUGCAUCACCUGCUUAAUAAGGGAACCAUUUACCAUGAUGAGAGAGGAAGAUUGUCCGUCCUACUUGCUCAAGGUAAGAUGGCAGGCAACUUCUACCCCUCACCCCCCACCCCCAAAAACUCCCAAAAAAAAACUUUUAUUACUCUUUUGUUUCAUAAGUUACUCAAUUAUUAGCAGAGAUAUACUUCAGAAAGGGCCAGUACCUCAUUCAACAUCCUGUGUAAUUCAUCCCUUGCCUCCACAACACGGUCCCUAUCAUUGCUAUCUACCACAAAUAUAAGACCCUGAGUAUUUUGGAAGUAGUGCCUCCACAAAGGACGAAUCUGUCAAACGUCAGCACAAAUUUCUUCAUUGGACAUUGUAACCAGCGAAGAUAAUGAGAAAAUAAUAAAUCUAUAGCAAGGGAAAAUUCCUGAUAUUAACAAUCAAAAUAUGAGCAAAUGAGUGUAGCAGUUACCUUGUCCUGACCCCCAACAUCCCAAACAGUAAAGCUAAUAUUCUUAUACUCAACAGUCUCAACAUUAAAACCUGCAAAUUAGAACUGAACAAUUACUGCAAGCUCAGCUUCUUUGUAGCAAAACCCAAAAACCUAUACAGGACUCCUUGUAAAUUUGUGACAAGCUUAUAAUCAAGCUCAGCAACAGUUGUUGGAAUACCAAUAGACAACAAAGAUAGAAAAAUUGAUACACAAAAUCUUUACGAUUACUCACACACACACUAAAGGAUUUCAGAAAAUGCAAAAAUUAAGAUCACUGAAGAUUUCCCUUAAUUGAUAAAGUGAUUAAACAAAACACAUUGUUGGAAAAUUAUUCAAAAAAUUAAUCAGAAAGGUAUUUUGUUAGCCUUAAUUUGCCAUUUUGUUAGCCAUGAUUCAUUCAAACUUUGGUCAAUCUUAGAGAUCUGUAUACAAAAGAGCAUGUGAGGAUGAUCAUGAAAACCACACACAUAAAGACAACUGUUCCAAAUACACUCAUUCAUCUUCAUCUUCAUGUUCAUGCUAGAGUUUCCAAUUGAGGAAAUCUAAGAACAAUUCAGAACAUAUAAGAAGCAGCAAUUUCACUAAUCAUGAUGACAGAGCUCAUACCAAUGGUGGGAAUUGUGGUAACAAUCUCUCCGAGCUUGAGCUUGUACAAGAUGGUGGUCUUACCAGCUGCAUCAAGACCCACCAUCAGAAUGCGCAUCUCCUUCUUGGCAAAAAGCCGGCUGAACAGCUUCGUGAAUGUUAGCCCCAUUAUGCUUUCUUAUGUAAGAUCCCUGCUCAUUUGCAUAACAUUUCAUGGAUUACAAACAAAUACACAUUGCCUUUUAUACACGACUGAACACACAAAACCUAUUACCGCAACAGUUUCACAUAACCAGACAUUCAACGAUUUAUAUAGGAAAACAACAUCAGCAACAGGAUCCAGGAAAAAAACUAACAUCAGAAACACAACAGGAUCCAAUAAAAAACUAACAUCAGCACCACAUUACAAUCAUACCAAAAGCAAUAUUUUCUUCCAUAGUGAUAGAAGCCAUUCACACCAAAAGCCAAUACAUUACUAUCAUUUUCACAUGGGGUAACUUGUUAGUGUUGCUUAUGACACACUGUAGAUCCAAAAAAAAUAUAACUUCGUCUCAGAUCAAACGAUAAAGAAAUUAAGCUUAUAAGUUUCCGGAAAAUGUUAGAAAAGCAAACAAAGCAGUGCUUUAAAUCAGCAAUAAAUGACCUCAAACCACCUCAUAAUCAGCUCAAUAUCAUAAAUUUCCCCGAAAUAUCACCACUACAGUCAUACAAUUCCAAUAAGAAUAAACUCAUCAACUAUGACCUACGCAAGCAUUCAAAUCAACCGAUUAGAGAUAAUUUCGGAAGAAAUUCCUAGACAUAUCAAGGCAUCACAUUGAUUACCGGCGCAUGAUUCAUAGACUACACCAAAUCACAACAUCAAUCAGCUAAAAUCACAAAUUCUCGUCAUUUCCAACACGAAAACAGAAAUUUUCCAAGACGAAUCAACAAAUCACAUUUACAUCCUACGCAUCAUUAAAAAAACAAGGCAUCAGACUCACAACAUCAAUCAAUUAAAGCUACAACUUUACGAAAAUUUCAAAAAAUAGCAGAAAUUUGGGUAAUCGCCGAAGGAAUCACGAGUUGCACCUUGAAUAAACAGUUAAACCGUACAAAAUCGACAAAAGCGACGGGGAAAAUGAAGAAAGCACCAAAAUUGAGAAGAAAACUAGUUACCUGAGGAAGGAUUUGACAGAGGGAAGAGAGGGAUCUGAGGUGAUGAGAGAGACUCGAAAAUAAAAACGAAAGCUUGAGACCAACGCGUAAUUAUGGGGGAAUGGGAAUUUCAACUUGAGGUCCUAAAUAAAGAGCGACGCCCACAGGCCCCAAGUUGAGGAUGUUCUUGGAUUUACUGGAUUGCCAUCUGGUUCCAGUUCGAAUAACGCAAACUGCCAGUACUGAUGAGUUGGUAGAUCAUUAGAUUACCGCGGCAAAUGCAUUCCCAACCGUUGGAUUUUUCAGUACCAGUUGUUUGAUGAUGCCACGUGUCGGUUCUCACGAAGUCUUCAGAAGAAGUAGUAGUAGUAUUAGGGUUUCAUUAAACCAUCCUUCCUGGAAAAAAAUUAGUAUGAGAAAAUAUAUAAUAAUGUUAUGCUCGCUGUUAUGGAUUGCUUUCGUUCGUGUGAAACGUUAUGGAUUUGCUUAACUACGAGACGAAUAGCUAGCUGUCCAAUGUGGACCAAUGCUCUGCGACCUUCUCUUCCGGAAGAAACUAACAUACCAUACCAUACCAUACCAUACCAUAUGGGUCUAUUUCAUUGACCACAAAAUUCCCGCCCGUCUACAACAAUUAAUAAAUAUGUUUGCAAGAUUAGAAACUACUACACCAUAUGGUUCUGUCCCUGAGCAAAUCAAAAGAUCCUGGUUUUAACUGACAUGUAUGCGUGUGUAUAUAUAUAUAUAUACACAAACACACACACACACACACACGGGUGACCAUUCCGACCGAACAUGGCAUGGUGCUGAUAACAAGAUGGAACGGCAAUUUUCCGUCUUAUUAUGGUGCUUGCCCAAUCAGCGCCAAUACUGAGCCCAACGGUGUAUGGUCUCGACCAUUUGGGGGAAUAAUGCACUAACACUCUCAUUUAUGAGAUCCUGGAAAAAGUGAAUGCACUCCUCAUCAUCCAAGUCCAGCCGAAACUUCUCUUGAAGCUAUAUAUCAAGGAUUCAAAAACCACCUCAAUAAAAUGUUAGCAAUAAUUCUCAAUAGAGCGCAAGUAAACAGCAGCGUCACCUUUAGAAUGCCUUUUUCAGGAUCACAAGCUAUGUCAGGAAUAUUGGAACCCGCCAUCAGGUGAAACAGAUUCAAUAUAAGGUUGCUUGAUUUCCGGAGAAUAUUGUAUGCUUCACAACAGUAUGAUUUGAACCUCGUAUAGUAUUGGCUGCAAGAAAAUAAAUUUUGGAAAAUGAAAUGUAGCAUAUCCUCAGAACUAUUUUCCCCGACAAUCCCACCACCACCCAAGAGACCUAAUCGCUGCAAGAAAUGGGUUUCUUUCUUCAUUUGUCAUACAAGCAUAAUUAUUCUCGAAACUCAAAGACCAACAUGACCGAACAAACAGAUAGACUUCAGAGAUCAGCGGGAAUACCUCUCAGCUCCUCCCAUAGCCUCAACCAUUUCUUUGCAAAGUUUCAUGGGUGGUGGAAAGGGUUUUGGAUCCCGACCUAGAAUGAAACCAAAAUCAACAUGCAAUAGGCGACCAUCAUCUCUAAGCAGAAGGUUAUCCAAGUGCCUAUCAGCCAACAAAAUUAAUCCAUUAGGAAAUGCAAUAACUCGGCAUACAAAUCUCAAGACACAGGCAUGAUGUUGCACAGUCAAAGCAGAUAAACACACAACAAUAGCACACUUCUUCCAGUAUCAUAGCUUUUAACACACUGCAAACAUCUACAAUGCAAAAGUUUUACCAUCAGGCAGCCAAUCAAAGUGACUGAUACUCUAUACGUGUCUAUAAACUCAUUGCAAUCCAUCCCCUUUGCCAAAACAAACUUCAGCAACAAUUUCAUCAUACAGACUAUUGCAAUUGUGGAUGUAAGGUGAUGAGAAAACACAUCCCACUAGAUGAUAACGAGAAUAAUUUAUGGAUCCCACACGAUUUCUUCAAGUUUAUCUUGAUUUGCCAUCACAAAAUUGCGCAAACAACUUGUGGUGUGAAUUCAAAAGCAAAUGCUUGCAAUAGAGUAGGAGGAUAAUGGGAAAACACUGAAAAUUGUUGAAGAUAUGUGAUCUGAUAUUAUGGAAAGAUUUGAUAAUAUAAAUAUUAGGAAAGAUUUGAUUAUAGUAUCAUAUAUUAAUUAGGUAUCAUAUGAUUAUAGUAUCAUAUAUUAAUUAGGUAAUAGUAUGAUUAUAGUAUCAUAUGAUUAUAGUAUCCACUUGUGUAUAUAUAUAUUUGUAUAUUGUGUAGUCCAAAGUAAAAUAGAAGAAAAGUAUUUUUUCUCUCCAUUUUUCUUAGUUUACAUGGUAUCAGAGCCCGUCUAGGGUUCUGGGAAAAAUACCACCUUUGCUUCUUGUCAAUUCCAGCCUUAAUUGCUGGUUCCUUUCUUAUUCUCUCCAGCCUUCAUUGCUGUUCCUGUUACUAUACAUUUUUUUCCCCCCCUCCUAUUCAAUCAUGGCGGAUGCUACAUCCUCAACGCGGCAAUUGUCUUCAACUAUGGAAGAAGAACAAAGUACACGGAACACAACAGAGCUUCAAAACAUCCAGGCAGCAUAUAGACUAAAUGGAAAAAAUUAUUUGAAGUGGUCUCAAUUGGUUCGAACAUUCCUGAAAGGAAAAGGAAAGUUGAGUCAUCUAUUGGAAAUAGCACCGGAUAGUGAAACGGCGGGGUUUGAAGCAUGGGAACAAGAGGAUUCAAUGAUCAUGUCUUGGUUAUGGAAUUCCAUGAUUCCUGAAAUCAGCGAUACAUGUAUGUUUCUUCCUACAGCAAAGGCAAUUUGGGAUGCCCUUCAUCAGACAUAUUCCAAGGUUAAUGAUGCAGCUCUUAUCUAUGACAUCAAGACAAAGACAACUGGAGCAAAACAAGGGACAAAAACAGUGACGGAGUAUGCCAAUUUUCUGCAAAACCAGUGGCAGGAACUGGAUUAUUACAGGGCACUUGAUUUGAACUGUAGCAAAUGUGCAGUGUUUAUCAAGAAGUUCAUAGAAAGGGAUCGAGUUUAUGAUUUUUUGGCUGGCCUAAACUCUGAAUUCGAUCUUGUACGAAUUCAAAUUCUGGGCAGGCCAGAGUUUCCUUCUUUAACAGAAGCAAUAUCCCAAGUACGUGGAGAAGAAAGUCGCAGGGGUAUUAUGUUAGAGCUACCUUCAAUAGAAAAUUCAGCCCUUUUAAGUUCCAAAUCUCAGCGGUUGGUACUGAACAAGGUUGCUGCGGACAAGACCAAUCAAAUAAGUGGGCAAAAGAAUCGCGAGGAGUUAUGGUGCACAUACUGCAAGAAACCACGACACACCAUAGAUCAAUGCUGGAAACUACAUGGGAAACCACCCACUCGUGAAUGGGGACAAAAAGGUGGCCAGCAAAGGCAGGCUCAUAUGUCGGUUCAAGAUCCAACUCAAGUGAUUGGAGGGUUUAGUAUGGAGGAAAUUGAGAAGCUUAAAAGUAUGUUAGAGACGGUUGACAACCCAGCAACUAACAAUUCUCAAUCAAGGAAUCCGGGUAUGUGUUCAUUGACACUUUCAGGUAAGGCUCUAGUCUCUUUUGCAUUUAGUGUUUUAGGCAAUGAGCUUAGGAAUGUCUGGAUUCUUGACUCUGGUGCUACGGACCAUAUGACUCAUAUUUCAAAUAAAUUCAAAACCUAUAAUCCCUGUCCUAGCAAUAGAAAGAUUGUUGUUGCAGAUGGUACUACAACCACUGUGGCAGGUAUCGGAGAUGUCCAAGUUACUCCAAAUUUGAUUCUUAAAAAUGUUCUUCAUGUUCCUCGAUUAUCUACAAAUUUGGUUUCUGUAAAAAAACUUGCCAAGGAUCUAGCUGGCUCUGUUAUAUUUGAUGAAUCCUAUUGUGACUUUCAGGACCGGGGUUCGGGGAAGAGGAUUGGACUAGCUAAGGAGCAUGAUGGACUCUAUUACUUGGAUACAUCAAGUCAACCCGAAUUUAGUAAAUCUGCCCUGUCCACAUUGUCUUCACCCUCCAAUAAAGAUGUCAUCUGGUUACAUCAUAGACGUCUAGGUCAUGUGUCUUUUUCUGCAUUAAAAAUAAUGUUUCCUUCCUUGUUCAAGGGAUUUGAUGUUCAGUCUUUUCAUUGUGAUAUUUGCGAGUAUGCUAAACACACUCGUGUCCCAUUUCCUAUCAGUAAUAAACGAUCGUCUUCUCCUUUCUUUUUAAUCCAUAGUGAUAUUUGGGGGCCAUCAACUAUUCCAAACAUCUCAGGGUCUAAGUGGUUUGUCACAUUUAUCGAUGACUGCACAAGAGUCUCUUGGAUCUAUUUACUCAAAAAUGAGUCUGAUUUGAGUUAUAUUUUCCCUGUUUUUCAUGCAAUGAUUCAAAAUCAAUUUGGCACCAAGAUAAAACACUUUCGUUCAGAUAAUGCUCGUGAUUAUUUCAAUCAAACCUUGAGUCAGUUUUUCCAAAAAGAAGGAAUCAUACAUGAAUCAUCCUGUAUUGCCACUCCACAACAAAAUGGAGUGGCAGAACGGAAAAACCGACAUCUUCUUGAGUGCACUAGAGCCUUACUGUUUGAACAAAGUGUGCCAAAAGCAUAUUGGGGAGAAGCUGUACUCACAUCAGCUUAUGUCAUAAAUAGAAUUCCUUCCAAGGUCUUGGGGUUUCAAAGUCCACUAGAGAACCUAUCCAAAUUUUACCCCGAUAUUCGAUCUUCCUUUAAUCUCACUCCUCGAGUUUUUGGAUGUACUUCCUUUGUUCAUGUCCAUAGUCAUAACCGUGGGAAGUUAGAUCCUCGUGCUCUUAAGUGUGUCUUCGUGGGGUACUCAUCUACUCAAAAGGGUUACAAAUGUUAUCAUCCACCUACUAGAAAACUCUAUGUCUCGGCAGAUGUUACAUUUGUUGAAAAUAAGCCCUAUUUCAUCACUCCUUAUCUUCAGGGGGAGUUAGAUACACUUGAAGAUAAGGAGUUAAAAUUUCCCUCCUUAGAGUUGACCACAUCUGAGUCAUCCAAAUCUGAAUUCCAAGAGUCAAUUCUUCAAUCUGAUGUGGUAGAAGAAAAAAAGGAAGACCGUAAAAUCUAUGACUGGUUCCGGUUUGACCAAGUGUAUACAAGGAAAGGAGAUCCCAUCGUGGUUACAAGGCAAGAACAAUCCUCUAAACCAAGCUCCGGGAAUGAGGUAACAAUGAGUGAAUCAAAUCUGAAUUCUACACCACCGACCGACCAUUCUUCCAGCUCUAAAUCACCUUGUCCUGAGCCUCUUAGCCCUGACCAGGACCUACAUCUACCUAUUGUUGUAAGGAAAAAACCCCGAGAAUGCACCAAAAGACCCCUAUAUCCAUUGUCUCACUUUGUGUCUUUUGAGAAGUUUUCCCCGAGCCAUCAAAGCUUCCUUUCCACCUUAAAUACAGUCUCUAUUCCUAGCUCAUUGUCUGAAGCAUUAUCAAAGAAAGAAUGGAGACUUGCUAUGGAAGUAGAAAUGGAUGCAUUAGAGAAGAAUGGGACCUGGGAAUUAGUUGAUUUACCAAAGAACAAGAAAGUAGUGGGUUGUAAAUGGGUGUAUGCAGUAAAGUUUAAAGCAGAUGGGUCCCUAGAACGCUACAAGGCAAGGUUAGUCGCGAAAGGAUACACACAGACAUAUGGAGUAGAUUAUCGGGAAACAUUUGCUCCAGUAGCAAAGAUGAAUACAGUGAGAAUUCUGCUAUCCUUGGCUGUUAAUUUUGAUUGGGAAUUACAGCAAUACGAUGUGAAGAAUGCUUUUCUUCAUGGAGAGUUGGAAGAGGAGAUUUAUAUGAGCAUUCCACCGGGAUUCAGUGGGGUUGACAAGAACAAGGUUUGUCGGUUAAAAAAGGCAUUAUAUGGGCUGAAACAAUCCCCACGUGCUUGGUUUGGACGAUUUGCCAAGGUAAUGAUAGCUAAUGGUUACAAGCAAAGUCAAGGAGAUCAUACCCUGUUCAUCAAGCAUUCAGCCUUGGGGGGAGUUACUGUUUUGAUUGUAUACGUAGAUGAUAUCAUAGUGACAGGAAACGAUGAAGUAGAGAAGAAAACUUUGAAGUGGUGCCUAGCCAAGGAAUUUGAAAUAAAGGAUUUAGGAAAAUUGAAGUAUUUUCUGGGAAUUGAAGUGGCUCGAUCAAGGCAGGGAAUUUUUAUUUCUCAACAGAAGUAUGUUAUGGACCUGCUCAAGGAAACAGGCAUGACAGCAAGCAAACCAGUUGGAACUCCCAUUGAGCAGAAUCACAAAUUAAGUGAGGCUCAUGGAGAUACAGCUGUGGACAGAGAGAUGUACCAAAGACUUGUUGGGAAACUCAUUUAUCUCGCACAUACUAGGCCAGAUAUAGCUUACUCAGUCAGUGUUAUUAGUCAGUUUAUGCAUGAUCCUAGAGCAGUUCAUCUACAAGCAGUUUAUCGAGUGCUUCAUUACUUAAAGGCACAUCCAGGGAAGGGAAUUUUAUUCAAAAAGGGUCCUGAAAUUGAUCUGGCAGUUUACACAGAUGCAGACUUUGCAGGGUCUCCAGUUGACAGGCGAUCAACUUCAGGAUAUUGUACAUUUCUUGGAGGAAACUUAAUAUCCUGGAGAAGCAAGAAACAAAGUGUGGUAGCAAGGUCAAGUGCUGAAGCAGAGUUCAGGGCUAUGGCAGCAGGGGUAUGUGAAUUAUUGUGGGUUAAAAUUAUCCUAGAAGACUUGAGGAUUCAAUGGAGCAAACCGAUGAAGCUAUAUUGUGAUAACAAAUCUGCUAUAAGUAUAGCUCACAACCCAGUGCAACAUGAUCGGACGAAGCACAUAGAGAUAGACAGGCACUUUAUUAAAGAGAAGCUAGAAAGUGGACUGAUUUGUACUCCAUAUGUUCCGACAGGACUUCAACUUGCAGAUGUGAUGACAAAGGGACUGUGUAGCAACAUGUUUCAUGAAAGUGUUGCCAAGCUGGGAAUGGAAGAUCUAUAUUCACCAGCUUGAGGGGGAGUGUUGAAGAUAUGUGAUCUGAUAUUAUGGAAAGAUUUGAUAAUAUAAAUAUUAGGAAAGAUUUGAUUAUAGUAUCAUAUAUUAAUUAGGUAUCAUAUGAUUAUAGUAUCAUAUAUUAAUUAGGUAAUAGUAUGAUUAUAGUAUCAUAUGAUUAUAGUAUCCACUUGUGUAUAUAUAUAUUUGUAUAUUGUGUAGUCCAAAGUAAAAUAGAAGAAAAGUAUUUUUUCUCUCCAUUUUUCUUAGUUUACAAAAAUCAUAGGAGUUUAGAAUUCUGACUAAUAUGAGAAAACUCAUACUUCAAAUUCAGUAUAUAUGAGAGAGAGAGACAGAGUCACAACAAAGUUUACGGAGAAAAAAAGGAAGAAACUGAAAAUUUAUAUUUCAAAAUUCAGUUUCAAAUGGCUGAGGAUCCAAAACUUACAUAGCAUGCACGAACUUAUGAUGGUAAGACCAGAAAAAGCAAUCAUCAUUAACACUCACCUAUCUCCAAUGCCUAAAAUGUAUGUGAUGACUGAAUAACCAGCACAACUUUUAAUGAAUGUUUCAAGACAUGUUGCAGUAAUCCCAAAUGGUCCAUCCUCAUCUGGAUGGAACUUUUGAAGGUAGCUUAUGAUACUACGGUGCUCUGAAAGAAUCUGAAACCAAGAAGGAACAAUAUUCAUAAAAUAAUGGAAUUGAUCAGUAACUCACAAAACAAAUAAGAGCGCAUAUAGAACCAAAGUGAUGCCCCUCAAAUUACCUGUAAACAUAUAAAAAGAUAACCAACUUACUCCUGAGGUUCAAAAACAUGAUAGGAUAACAGCUAGCCAGCAGCUAACUAGUUCACUGCCUAGUCAUUGAGGUUACAAUAGCAUCAACAGACUAGUUAAGGUAUUUAAAUGCAAACUAAAAGAAAUUCUAAGCCCAUGUAAUGCCUUUCUCAGAUUCUCAAAGUUACUCCGCACAACACAAGGAACAUUUGUCAUUAGCUGUCCCCACAACAUGAACUGAGUCACUGAGAAUUCCCAUAGAAAUCCACAAGGGAGUUGCAAUUGAUCCUCCAAAAACAUUAACAUGAAAUUCUUUGAAACAAAGAAGCCUGAAAAAUCGAGGUUCGUGCAGUCACCUAAAACUAGCAAAUAAAGGUGAGAGACAGUGCAAUGCAAGGGCAAUAGCAGGCUAAAAUAACCUUUUUUUUUGGGAGGAGGUCCCACAAUAAAAAAAAUUUACCACACAGAAUCAACACCAAUAUUAGGUACCUGUGCCAAAGAUUUGGAUGGUAUAAACUCCAUCAUGCCUUCAUCAUGUCCGGUUGCUAAAACUCUGUAUGGGGUCAAAUGCAGAUCAAGAUUCUCCAGCUUAAGCAGACGAUCCAUAAGUGUUACCAUUUGGAUGACCUGAACAAAGUACAGUUUAGUAUGCAACCAACAAACCAUUUGGCAAGCCCACAAGUUUUAUCACAAACCUAAAAGAAAACUUUUAUCAACUAAACUUAGCAAAAUUCAAAUCUGGUUGAAAAAAUAUUUAGCAUUUACCAACUGGUCUUGCCGAAGAUCAUCGCCUUUCUUAAACAUUAUCUUACAAAUCCCACCAUUUGUUGUUCGAAAAGCCAGACGCAAUGGGUGCAACGCACUUUUGAAUAUUGAUGAUUCUGAUGGUAUAAUCCCUGAAAUGAGGACUCCAGGAGCCAGUGGUGAUCGUAUUGGCUGAAAGUAUGAAACAUAACUAAUUUAAAACCAUAAUCAUCACAUGCAUGCUCAAGAAGGAAAAUGUUUGAGCAAGAAAGCCUAUGAAUUUCUGUCACAUGAUCACCUCAUCAAAGUACUGAUAGUAGAGAAAAAGUAGUUACCUCGUCAAAGUAGGUGAGCUCACUAAGAAGGCCGGAUAAAAGAUGUCUGAGUUUUUCAAUCUUCUUCUGUGUACCUCCACGGACAUUCCUAACAUCUCUCAUUAUGGAGCAUAAUUGGGCAGUCAAUUCUGUCUGGCGAACCAAGCUCUGCCACAACUUGAAACCAUCUUCAUCUCCAUUUGCAACUACUCCCAACUGCAACAACAAGUAGAGAGAAAUACCUUUAAAAACAGCCAUGGGCCUAGUCUUACAUACCGUGCAGAAAUCUUGCACAACAGUAAAUGUUCCCCCCACACCAGACAUUCAAGUAGAUGCAAACACAUUAAUAUUUUUCUAGUUGGUAGAAGAAACUGAGUACGACCUCUAUAAUCAAAUUAGCUUUCACAAUAAUUCUAGAAGUUCCCAAUUUUUGGAGAGUAAUUGGAGAAAUGUAAUCUCACAGUUUUGAAAGCUGAAACAAGUAUAAAAAUCGUUUAUUCAUAAUGAAACAUAAUAUUAGGAUAUUUAAAAGUAUGGGAUAGAAAGAUAAACAAAAGAACUGAGUCUACUGAUUCUGUGAUGAUAAUCCACAAAUCACCUUGAGCAUACUUUCUUCCAAAAUCUCAUAGGUACAAUAGAAACGUUUUGCAUAUGCAGGAUCAUGAAGUUCCACAGCAACAUACCAGCGGAGGAAGCUAGCCAGCUCAAUAUUGCGCAAUGCUGCCGAAACAAGCAACGUUAGUUUCAGAUACAUUUACAAGUAAGCCGCAAUAUAGAUUACAUUUGUUUAUUGAAGAUUCUCAUGUAUAUUACAGCAAGCGUACACCGUUGCACAAGGAAAUGGGAUAAGCGAGAUUUAUCAGAACGCUCAAACCGAAGAGCUUGAACCAAUUGAAGCAGGUAGCACUGGAGCUCAUCAUCAUCGGCUCUUUUAAGUACACUGACAGCAUAUGCACGGACCUGUUGGAUAAUGACAAUGAAGCACCCUAAGACUAAGCAAAUCUGUUUGCAACCAUAAUGCACAAAAGCAAUUUCGAUUUUUCAUGCCAAUCAACUUAUGAACAGUCAUUUUUUAAGGAGCAAUGGACCUUACUAUGGGCUAUUGCAAUUCCAGAACUCGCAUAGUUAGGACUCUAGGAAGUAAAUACUUCCUAAAAAAGGUUAAACACCAGAACUCACAUAGUUAGGACUCUAGGAAGUAUUUACUUCCUAAAAAAGGUUAAACACCAGAACUCACAUGGUUAGGACUCUAGGAAGUAAAUACUUACUAAAAAAGGUUACACACAAAUUUAACAGUGUAGAGUAUCUUUCAGGAAUGGACCUAGACACCCACACACACAUGCAAGCAUGCAUCUAGCACUCACCUCUUCACUUUCGAACACAGGAGACAGAAGCUCCAAUGCAUCACAGACAUCAAUUGGUUCCCACUUUCCCAUCAGUUCCAAUGCCUGCUUUGCUUCCUGCCAAAACAAAAGUAUAAAUCAUCACAAGACUUUCUACACGAAAUGCAUGUAUUGUCUUAAGCAUGUGUCACAAAAAGGGGUAAAGCAUACAAGCAAACCAUGAACAAGGAUCAGGAAUUAACCCUUAAACACCAUCUACAAGAAAAAAAGGGAAAAAAAGCUAAAGAGAAAUAGAGAGCAAGAAGGAUAUAGCAAAUAAAUAAGUAUGGAUGUAGGAAGUACAAACAUGAAACAGAAGGGGGAAGUUAAAUUUUAUACACAACAACAAUCAGGUUUGCAACUCAAUGACAUCCAUCCAUAGCAACAGACACCAGAAGUUCAAUAGCUAAUUAUCCAAAAUGUUAUGGUCCAGGUCCAUAAAACUUACUCACUGGAUGUAUAUUCAAUGACUAUAAACAUCCACAUCCCUUCCCGCAUGCAGGAAGUUGCUUUCUCAGGUUCAAUGGGAUUUAUAGGUGGCAGGGCAAAAGAAAUUACACCAAACAAAGAAUCAAUAAUUAUUUGUGAUACAACAUUUCACUAAAUUGAGACAACCAAAGUAGGAUGGGAAGAUAGGAAGAAUGCAGAUGUACCUGUACAUCACUCCACUCAACACACCGCAGAAAUUUUGUAAGAGCUCUCUUCUCGGACAUCAACGAAAAACGAAAUUUCCAAAGGAGCUGCCUUUCAUCUCCACUCAAAGUCCUUGUUGGAGGGUACUUUAAUAUUCUUUGUAUCGACCUAACAAACCACGCAACAGCUUGCAGAUCAACAUCAAUAAAAUGACAUGAAACAGAAACAGCAUAACACGGUAAAACAUAAAUAGUUUGUUUGGAUAGGAGAAUGAAUCUAUGUAAAGGACGAGAAAAACUAUCACAAUGUAUCAACAGGAUGGUACAAGGUUGUAAUAAAUAAAUUGCAAAAACUAAUGCUUUCACAAUUUUACUCCUACAAUUUGGGAGUGAGUGUGCACUUGCAUAAUAUGUUUCUGCAACACACGAUUGUGCAUGCGCAAGCGCGUGUGAGUGAGAGAGAGAGAGAGAGAUAUCAUCACAAUUAUCCAAUGACAUGAAAAACUGCAAGUACUCAAGGUAAUGUUGGCACUUCAUAAAGUACGCACUUCCUCUCUGUAAUGCUUGGUUUUAGAUCCCUAUCAAUGAUGCCGCGGUUUAGACUCCUUGCAAGCUUUAGUUGCUUGUGCUCAGAAGGAUUAAUCUUCCCCACUUCCGGAUCCCAUACAGUAACCAGUUCAUUUGUUGAAGCUAUAGGAGAUGGUAUCAAGAAAUUUGCCCCUGAUUCCUACUCAUCAAGGGAACAAGAAUUACAUUGUAAGUAAAAGGCCAGGAAAAUAAAAGACAAAUCCCAGACAUUGAAUGGGUGUGAAGUGUCUCUCAUAUAAUUAAAUGCUAGAAACUAAAAACAAGUAUAAUAAAGAUAUAAAGAUAUAUCAGGUGAAAUAUUUUCCAAUUCCUUUAGUAAAGGAAAGCUUCUUAUUCACAAAAAGCAGUAAAAUAGAAAGCAUUGGCCUUUCCCAUAUGCACAUUAGAUUGCCAAAAGGGAAAUAAGCAGAAUAGAUCCAAUUACUACGUCUUUCACAACAACUUCACAGCCAACAAUAGUUUUUCAGGUCCCUGAACAAAACCACUUGUCAACCAAACCUAUUUUCUGCAUAAUGAUGAUACAAACCAACUCCUUUCUAAAAUCUAUCCUAAAUUCCCGGAAAUUCCUCUAAUUGUUCCCAUGGCUUGGAGCCAUCAUUUUUUAUUCUAGAAGGAUAACAAGUUCCAAUAAUUUGGGAUCUCCUUUGCCAAAAUUUUCAUUUAUUUGCUUCCCAUCUCAGUUUUACACAUUAUCCUCUUGUCUACUCAACCCUAUCGGGAAAAGUUUGUUCGGAUUAUAGUAUCAGUUUUCAAAUUUUUCUUUUUUUGCCCUGGGUAACAAAAAUAGGAAUUGUUUACAGGAAGCAGUCAAAGAACAAUGGAGCUCAGGAAGGAGAAUACGAAAUUAAGCUAUUCAAACUCAGGAAGGAUUCACUCAAACUCAAGAGUAAAAAGAAUGCACUGCUGCAAACUUGAAAACAGCUACCUGAAAGACAACUCGAUGUUCGAAACUACAAAAAUCAAUGACCAAAUAUACAUGAGAACUUCCAUUUUUACUGUUCUCUCGCUCCUUAAUUUUCUCCAUAGCUGGAAAUGCAAGCCGGUCCAGCCAAUCAACCCGUUGAAUUUGUCCCCUCUCAUACUUAUUUACAAGCUUUUCCAAUCGCUCCAACUCUCCACGUUCCUCCUUCGGAACCUAGCAGAAGACAAGCUGUGUGAGCAAAUAAAAGAGUCUCAAAAUAUUUAAUAAUGACAAGGUAAAACCUUGGGAAGGGGAAAAAAAGCUAUUAUUCACUAGUAAAUGAAGAAUAAAAACCUUUCCAGGAGUACUUGUAUGGACAGAUCCAUCUGCUUCCUUUCCGAGCCACAGCCUGAGCUUAUGCUUCCCUGUCUUUAGUUGUUUUUUCAUGUUAAAUAGAUGUAUGGUAGCCCCACCAAUCACUCCUUCACUCUUGCCACGUGAAACAUCCCAAACCUGAUUUGUAAGGAUAUUACCAACAAGAGAAGAGUCAGGUAGAUAAAAUUGCCGUGCAAAUAUAUAACACUAGUGAUCAAAUCUUUUGCCAUAAUGGGUCAAAGAAAUUAGCUUUCAAAAAACAAAAAAGCUCUCCAACAUCUAAUUAGUUAAAGCACCUUCCUCUCACUUGGUGCAGUCCUAAACUAGACAUCUCAUUUCCACAGAACUACCAAUGGUCAUGAUUCCAACAUUGAUCCUCGUCUUUCAAAAUUUGAGAUGAUCAUCACAAGGCAAAGCCUUUUCUAAUUAUUUGUCCUUUUCUUUUUCUACUGAGCUAAUGAAGCAGGUAAAUGUGAAAAUUUGUCAGCAAAGCAAAAGAUUAUGAUUAAGGUAUAUCUCAAAUGCAAAAAGGCGUUGCAGACUCACAGUGAAUGCAAGUUGUGAAUUAGCAGUCAAGUCCCGAUAUUUCGUGCUCAAUGUUAUAAGCUCAUUCCAGCAAUACGAUGGGCCUUUUGUUUCCAGUCUGACAAUCAAAGAUUUUUCAUUACUAACAGAACAAAAGGACCUACCAAACUCCAGAGAAUUGAAAUCUACAGAAAAAAAGGAAAAAGAAAAUGCACGCACGCACACACUCUCUGGAUAUGAAAUGUGAUUGAGAAUGACCUAGUUCUCAUGGGAAGUCCGAAUGGAGCUCCAUCAAGAUACAAUGUACACUCAACAUACAGCUCAGGCCUUCCUUCCUCUAAAGUUGAAUCAACAUCAGCUGUUGAAUUAGAAAAUGAAAAAAAAAAGAGAGAGAGAGAGCAUAAGUAUAUGCAGAUAAGCAGCUCCAAAUAUUGAGCUGUAUAUAUGCAUAUAGACAUAUUACUAAUUUGUGUUUUAUGUUCACCAAUUUCGAGAAUAAAACCCUAUUUGAUAGGUAGGAAAAAGAAUCAACUUUAGCAGUACCAGCAUGAGCAGGUGAAAUUAAUUUACCUGAAUCGGGGUUUCUGGAAGAGGGCAAUUUCCCUUCCAACCGUUCGAUUCGAAAAGUGACGGGAAGAUUGAUGUCGCAUGAUAAGAAGAAGCGAAAUUCGUUCCCGCUCAUUGUCUCUUCAUAGUAAUUCCCAGUUUAAGAAAAGUUACGCUUUUCUUUUUUCUCGUUUUUAACUUUGCUAUUUGUUUUGGCGACGGAGGACUUAAUCCAGAACUAGUUACAGAAGAAUCUGAAGAAUUGGAAUCGCAAUUCUGCAAAGAGUUUGAUAUUGCUUGGCAAUUUGGGACAACCGUCCCAAAUACAGCAUUCAAGAAGAAGUGAGCAAGUUUUCGUGAAGAAAACAACUAGGCAGCCCGGGACUGAUGCUGGAGUAGACGGGUUGAGAAGAAAGUUACUUAAGCAAGUUUCGUAGUCCAAAAUCCUAUCGUUUCGACAAAAUAUAAAAAAAAAAAAAAAGUUUGGUAGUCCGACCAGUUUAUAAGAUGGCGUGAUUCGAGAACUUGAAAUAUGCAACGCUUUCUCUACCCGUGAUAAACGACUUCGUGAUAUGCAGAUAAGAUGCCGUACCAUAGUAUAGGUGAUUGAAUCACGAUGACGUUUUGGUACCAAGGAAAAUUUCCAGUGUGACCCUUAAAAAGUCUACAUAUUGUUUGUGAGGCCUCCACAAGCUUGAAAUAAUGGCACUACCACAUCUUUCUGUUGUCCUAUAAAUUUGAUAGCCAGUCACAAUCUGCAGAAUAACUUGUGAUUUUCUUGGAGCCAAUAAUUUACACACACACACACACACAAACUUUGGCUUGAUAUAACGUUAAUUUGGCAAAAUCAUCUUAAAAUUGAAUAGAAUGAUGCAAAGUUCAUGGAUAACAUUAGAAUCAGUACGUACAAGAAUAGCCCCUUUCAUACUUCCGUGUGCUCUGUUAAGCACAAGGUCAAAAGAACAUAUAAGAAUUUUCAGCUCAAGGACCUAACAAGAAUCUUCAAUUUGUGAUGAGACUAAAUUAAAGUGUACAACACAAAGAAUGAGAAAGAGAGGAAAAAAACAUGUAAGGAUGCUAAGGUAGGCGUGGAAAUUUUGAAAAAUUUGGUGGUCUGUGUUGCAAGUAGGCAUUCUUCCCCUCGUUACCUUCCUCAGUUCCGUAAAAUAUCAGGGUUGCAUUUCCUCCAAGCUCCUGCAUCGCAGAUACAAGUUGUAAAUCAGAAAACAUUGAUUCAGUGAAGCAUUGGCCUGUCUUUAUUCUGUAGACCUGUGAAAGGGAAUUUCGAGCAUAUGACAGCAAAGAAUGGGAAGAAAAAGAAGACAUGGAGGAGCAUGCAGAUCAUCCUGGAAUCAGUCUCAGUUUUACUGAUUACAGUCAAAAAGUUUUGAGGCCAUGCGAGAUGCUGAGCUUGUCUUGUAGUACCAAAAUUCAAAUUUGAGUCAUACCUGAAGUCCAGCAUGCCCAUCAUCAACUGCAUUUAGAGCUGCUUUGAGCACUCGAAUUGCGGUGGGGCUAUUCCUUAGGAUCUCUCUACACCACUUAACUGUUUCUUCUUCCAAUUUCUCUAGCUGGAGAAUAGAAUUAGUCAAAUUUUUAGAUAAUUGAGAACGUGCAGAUCAACAUUACAAUGCAACAGGUAUGAAUAAUUAUGUGGAAAGAGUGGUUUACUUGUUACCAAAAUGCAUAGUGUUCAGAAGCAAUGGAAAUUGGGCAUGGUAUUCUACAGAUAUUCCUAAUUUCUUCUUUUUCUUUUUAUUUUUUUUCCACGUUGCUGAAGAGAGGAUGAGUGCGAUAUUUAGCCAUCAAUCAACUUACUGGGACAACAGUAUUUACGAGUCCCAUUUUCUCUGCUUCAGAAGCUGUGUAGAACCUAGUCAGAAACCACAUUUCCCGUGCUUUCUUUGGCCCAACCUAACAGAGAAAAUGAGUAAACAGAAUUAUUGACGGAUAAGUACAAAUGUUAUCUGGGCAAAAAACAUAUCCUUGUAUUGAACAUGCCCAUCAGAGUUUUCAAAAACUGAACAAGCUGACCAGUUUGAGUUAACAAAAAUGAAGCUUAAUGGCUACUAUGUUUUCACAAGUUUAUGAAAACCAAUGCAAUGAUAAGAGGAUUGUCCAGCUCCAAAACUCACCAAUCUGGACAUUAUCGAACUUCCAUAGCCAGCAUCAAAGCUUCCCACCUGCAAUUUGCAUAACUCGAUCAGGUUUCUGACCCUAGUACUUCCGUAUGCCAUAGACACUUAAGUUAAGCAACAAAUGGAGAACUGAAGAAGCAGAAUUUAGAUAUAUGCAUCAAAUGGUCACAUCUGCAGAUAUAGCAAUGCGAAUUUCUAGCUUCUUUGCAGUUCCUAUUGACAAGACAUGGAAAUGCUUGAUUUUGCCUUUUGCAAAUCUUAUGAAAAACCAGUUUUGCAUGCCAAAAAUCAGCCGUAUAUAAGUCUAACAUUCUGCCAAUUGGUCUCUCAACUCUAUUAUUGGUUUUAAAACUAGUUUUGUCCAACCACGUGCAGAUAUCUAAAUAUAACAAUUCUUGUGAGCUUGCUGGGAGAAAUCAGCAAUUAAGUUACAGUCUACUUCAGCUUAUGGACAGUAUACAAUUCUCUUAUAUGCCAACAUAAGACAGCAAUAUUGAUAAAGCACCUUAGGACCUGUCUGACCAAAAAUAGCAUUUUCUGCAGCAAUUGUUAGAUCACAGACCAUAUGCAGCACAUGUCCUCCCCCAACGGCAUAACCUGCAACCUUGUUUCAAGGAGAAGAUCAUACAUAUAGAAAUCAUUGAAAGAAAUGUAACAGUAAAAUCUGAUUUUAAAAAGGCCGCCCAAUUGACAAAGUAAAGCCUACCAUAGCAAUUACUGGUUUUGGUAGACGACGAAUUUGCACCUGCAGAAAAGUAGGAAGAAACUAUGAUGAAUAGAAAGCAGUGACCAUAUACAAGAUAUCAUUACUACAAGUUUCUCAUAAAGGAUUUCUCUUCUGGUGUUUUGGGCUUAACAUCAUUAGAUUGAGAGAACCAAAAGCAAGCGAUUGUAUGCAAUCAAAAUGUAGAUUUUCAUUGAAUUCUAGUACUUGCCUGCAAAUCUAAAACAUUGAGGCGACCAAAACUUUCCUUAUCAGCAUAGCCAUCUUUGCUUCUCAUUGAUUGGUCACCUCCACUGCAAAAUGCCUUGGUACCCUGCUUAUAAGUAUGUAAAACUUAUUAACCUCUUGAAUUGUUAGCCUGUGAGACCUAAAAAGAGAGGAGGCACUUAACUGUCACUGCAUUAAACUGAAACUACUAAAAUGGAACCUCCCAUCCCCCUCCUCACCCUUUCCCAACAUUUACUUUCUAUGUUACCAGGGGAAAAACUCUAGAAAAGACUGCAAAAUGAGCAAUCAUCAACUGCUCUUUUUGCAUGGUUGAUUAUGUAAUACCCUGUUCAAAUAUAUGUGGAUAAGUAUCCGCCAACCUAUCAGAGGAUUUCCUCCUAUAAUUUUGUUAGUUACAACACAAAAUUCGACUGCACCAUAAAUUUGUUGAUGAAGUUUGUCUCUUAAGUAUGUCAUAUCUAUGAUCAUGUAUCAACGGGCACUGAGAAGGUACUAAGAAAAGGUUGGCAAAUUGAUGAAUAAACUAUACUCUAAUACCAUAUUUCAGUCUAUGCUACCUUCUUGAACUUGUACAUUCAUGCGAUGUAACUUCCAACUAUUUAAGAAACCUAUGACAUAGUUUAUGGAAAUCUCAAACAUGCUUGCAAGAAAGUUACCUUUCCUGUGAGAAUUAUGACCCCCACAGAUCCAUCAUCCCUGGCAUCAUUAAAUGCACGAAUAAGUUCCUUAAUUGUGUGUGGUCCAAAGGCAUUUCUUUUCUCUGGCCUGUUAAUUGUUAUCUACAACUCACAAUUGAAAGAACAGAUCAAAGGCAGCUAUUCAGCAUAAAUGAUAUACAUAUGCAAUGAUUUGGCAAGAGAAGCAAUAGCACCUGAAACCAACCAAAAUAUUAGCUCUCAACUAGGAAUAGAACCUUUUUAUGCAGAAAACGAAGGUGAAAUAUAGUUCAGUGGAUAAGGGCCUGUCUUCCUAAUCUCGGAAAGAGGGUUGGAUUUGUCCCGCAUUCGCUUCCAUAAAACUUAAAGAAUUACCACAAAUUAAGGUUCUAUAAAGGUGAACAUUUUCUUUAGUUCAAUGUGGUUCUAUAACUCCUUCCCUUCUUCCCUUUGGAACAAGAACAUAAUUGAUACUCUACACCACUCUCUUAGUAAAAUGUUUCCACAAACAGCACGUAAUUUUCUGAGGAUUAUGACGAACUGAAACACUAUAGCAUGCAAUUCCGUGUGAAUUAUUUUCCCUAAUUGUUAAUAGUACAAAUGCAGCAACUUGAUGAUGAUUUUUUGAACAGACCUUGGCAAUGCCUUCUCCAACAGCUUUUUCAUAAAUAAUGUCAGUAAACUCCUUGCCAGACUCAUCACUAGCAAUGAGUCUCCAAAUUGGCUCAUGAGUAGGGACUUCCCCAUGCUUUUUGUGGUAGCUGUCGUCCAUAGAAGAGCUGCAGCUUGAGAACCCAAUUGCACCAUCAUGACUAGGAUUGAAAUGGGACGCCGGCAUGAGAUGGCUAGCUACAGAGGCCACUCUUCUUCUCAUAGUUUCAACAUCCUUCCCAGCCAUGCCUGCCAUUCUUGCAGCUGGCUUGGAAAAAAUCAGAGGCAAUUAAUUUCUUGAAUAUGAUGUUUUAUGAAAAGUGUAAAUGAAGAGGAAGUGGAAUGGGACUUGAUGAUAGCUAGGCGGGAGUAGAGUUUUGUGUGGUGAAGAGGUUGACGAUGACAGACAUGUUUGCAUUAACGUUAUCUGAGUUGAUAGGAGAAUUUGAUUGGAUCAUCGGAUAACGGAUGGGGAUUUUGCGGUUCGGGUUGGGUAUGCAAUGUGAACUCAGGGAACUGAAAAGCCCGUGAGAUUGACCCGUAUUGGGUCUGUUAUGGAGGGUUGGUCCUCUUCCAACCAUAGGCCCAUUUGUCUAAUGGUUUCUUGGGUUUCCACGAGCCCAUCUUUCAAACAAAUUUGUCGGCCAUUGCAUAAAAUACGUAUUUAAUGAGAAAAAGUUAAAAAAAAAAAAAAAAAAAAAACAGAGGGGAGCACUAGCAGAGAAAAACAACCUGACGGUGACGAACUUUGACUGAAAAGAAUUCCAGUCUUCUAGUUCACCCCCAGUUACCGGGUCGCCAAGAACAGGAAGAAUGGCACAAGCCUGAGAAGCAAAUGGAAGCCUUGGAAAGCAGAAUGUUUUCUGAAGAAAACGGCUUCUCUACAGUUUCUGGUAAUUUCUUAUCUCCGUGAACAUCUGAAACUGGAAUAUAAUAACUUGAAUACAUAUGGGCAGCUAAUGGCCUAACACAUUUAGUGAAUUGAUCUCACUGAAGUGAAAUUCAUGAAUUUCAUACCUUGUUCUUCUAAAAAUUUUAGUUUUUCUGCGUGUGAAUUCUUUAGAGAUUGAUCUAUUUGAAUUGCAAGUAUAUUGGGAUAUAUCUUCACUGCAUUUGUUACGUGUAUAAACGCAAUUGCCUGUAAGAGUUAGGAAAUGGUUAAGCUUUGCUUGUCAGCAGGUUGCUAUCAUAGUAAUCAGACCAUAAUUGGCUCUUUAUGCAAUAUUUUUAUACAUUUGCCAGUUUCAACUUUUGGUAUGUGGGAUUAGGAAGUUUGUAUGAUGUAUUUAACUUUCAAAAUGUACCACUUACUGUUAUUCCAUUUGUAGUCAAUACAGCUUCUUGAUAAAAGGUUAACAAGCAUCUACCCUGAAGCUCAUGGAAGAGUCUGGUCCCCGCAGAAUCCAGUUCAUAAAUUAAGAAAAACUUUGCAUGUAUUCGAAAAAAUUAACAUUGUAAUGUCAAAGUCUUCUAUUUCUUGUGCUUGAAUCACUUUGGAAGGGCAGAUUCUAGCAUGGAGGAUUACAAAGAUGGGUUAUUCAUCGGGGCCUGCCCGGACCUUUAAGAGGAGUCAUCAGAUGUAAUAGAGAUGGCUGUUCACUUCUCUGCAUAAUUGAGAGCACUAUUUACACUUUCUAGUUUAGACUUAUUUUGCUAUCUCGACUUAGGAUGACCUUGUUACACCAUCUCCUUGCAUAACUAGUUACUCAUUCAUUCAGAUCUCUGGGGAAAGGAUUAUAUGGUGUGUAAUGGGCACCUCUUAGUGUAGGAAGGAUCCGAUGCAAACGGAUCACUGGGUUAGAAGGCAUAUUUGGGUGCCUAUACGGGGUUCUUCUGUCACCAUAGUGAACAUUUCUCCAUUUCUUAUGAUAGGUUGAAUCAAGGUAUAUUUGUAUGCUAAAAACAAACUCAAACUUUCUACAAGUAGUUGAAUGUUGUUUACUGCUUUACCCUUAUUGUUUAAAACCUAUUGCGAGUUAUUAUUGUUGCUCCAAGUUUAGGGACAGCUAUGUUUUUCUUGGAAUAAAACUCCUUUUUGACUUGUUCAAGGGAACAAAAUCACCUCACAACAUUUUUUUUUCUGAGAAAACUAUAGCUGCACUACUAUGGAUCCAAUGUCUCAACUUUUUGAGGGUACUUAAUUACAUUUAUUGGAUGGCUUUAUAUUUGAGUAAUACUUGAAGAGAUACUUGAAUACAUAUAAACUGGUUGUUCUCUGAUACUUUUGUGAGUGAGAGUAUGCAUAAUCUACAUGGAGGUUAUUGAAAAUUUAUGUCUUUCUGGAUAAGGUAGUUUAAUGACUUUCAGUAUCCAAGUGUUUGUCCCUGAUCCAUGUUGGUGCUUUAAAAAUUUUUGCCUCCUUUUUUUUAUGGAUUAAUCUUUCCUACACUGACAGUGCAUACACUGUCAGCGUUGGAUGAAUGACAACCAUGCAAAAUUUGAAUUUGAAAUUCAACUUUUGCAGACAUGUCAUGAAUCCAACGAUGAUAGUGUAUACACUGUCAGUGUAUAUAAGAUUUACUCAUUUUUUAUUCAACACUGUCAUGCUUGAAGAGGAUUCUAAAAGGUUUUCUAAUGAUAAUAACAGCUUUCAGCUUAGCUCUAAGGCACUAGCAGAUCUUUUGGAAUCUUCUUGCAGCAGUUGCCAAAAACACUGGCAUUGACGGGUUCAUACUCCUUUCGAAGAAGGACGCUGCAGAGCUGUCAAAGUAGAAUCUGGUAAAAGCAACUUGAUGGGUUCAAUGGGAUUAUGCAGUCAAAUGUGCACUGCCCAUAUGGACAGGAUGGAAUAUUAGCAUACAAUCUUGCUACUUUCUCUUUGCUUGCUAUUUGGAUUGUCUCGUAACUACUGGAGUCCUUGCAGGUACACUUGUUCCAGGCAUUCCCCAUCCCCCCUGCAACUUUCUCUCCAAAUUGUUUCCAUUAAUUAAUUUUAGUUGCUGGAUACUCUUUCCAUGACUGUGAUCUUGAAAUAUGUUUUACCAUUCCAAUGAAUUUGAUUGAGCAGGAUAUGAGUAUUGGUUUUUACAUGUUGGUUAUCCAUGCAUCCUUGUAUGUUGUUAAGAACUGAAGAUUUCAGGUGCUAUACUUUUUUGUUCCUUUUUUCUGUAGCCACUUGUAUAGAUUUAAAACUGCACUAUGCAUAGCAGAUACAUUAUCAAGCUGUAGGUCAAACUGACCUGCUGACAUAUUUAACAUAGUAGACAAAGCUUCAAUAUUUUUUACUAUCACACUCUAAGCUACUAAAUUGUUGUAUAUCGAACCAAUGAAGCUCAUAAUAUCCUGGUAAAUACUAAUAAUAUCGGUAUAGUAUGUAUUCUAACAUAUGGACUAAUUUCUACUGAUGGUGUGAAAGGGUCGGAAGAAAGAGGCCGACCACUCAAAUAAAUGCAACCAAUAUACAAUAUCUAACAUGAAUCAUGAUCUGCUUGAAUCCUGUUGCCUGGUGGCUUACCGAUCUGUAAGCACUCAAUUGGAGGUUCAGUAGGAGAAUACAGCUCCCCAAAUGUCUGCCAACAGUAGGGGUCAUACAUAUGGUAGCGUUCUUGCAGCGGUUUUAGUUCAAUAUCAUUUAGAGUUACUUGCGUGCAGGGAACGUUGUCACUGCAUGCCAAAUGCACUGGUUUUACUGUGUAUGUUCCUCUUAUGUUCUCGUAGUGGAUUCCUGAUAGAGCCACAGCCGAUGAUUGAUUCUUGCAUGUAGUCUUGUCACAGUAGAAUUGAUCAAUUACAAUAGGAAGUUGGACCUCGGACACUAUAAUGUUUGAAAACAGAACUCCUUGCACUGAACCUGAUCCUCCCUGUACAAGUAAUAUCCAAGUUAGAGAAAUCUUCUAUCAGAUUAGGGGUAUUUAUAGAAAUAUUGCCUUUAUUAUCAGAAGUGGAAAAAACAUCGUUGAUUCAAAAAAAGUUCAAAAAGGACAGAAGUCAACUUCAAUUGUCCUCAGAUUCUUUCCCAGAAUUUUGAAAUUUCUACUGAACCAGACAAAUUUGGGAGGGUAGCCAUACCUGCCACGUCUUUAUUCUGACACCAUUCAUGGUCUGAUGCAUAAUGAUAUCUCGGAUUGUGAUGUUCGAAACACAAGCUCUGGUCUCAUCUUUUCCUAGGCCUCCAAUACUGAUUCCAUGUCCUGGCCCACAGUUUAUGUUAUGAAUGUACACGUUUGUGCAUCCAGUUUGUAUUGAUACACAGUCAUCUCCUGCAAAGACAAUCCUCUUGUUAGAAGUUUUCUAAGGCUUGGUUAUUAGGUUUUAUGUCUUAAGACUGGCCUGUGCAAAGAAUUCUAUUUUAUUUCAUGUUAUCUGUUAGAGUUGCCCUUGUUUAGGUUUAGAGCUUCCUUAUCUACUAGUAGAAUCAUAAACAGAAGUGCUAUUUUGUGAACAUGACAGCGAGUAGAAAUGAGGAAAACAUGUGGUAAGGGAAUGUUAUUUUCUCUUUGUGGGGCUGACCAACAAAUCCUGUGAAGGAUCUCUCUUUUAACACUCAGGCUGUGACAAGUGUUGUUGUGCCUCGGACAGAAAACCGGUGGUCAACUAGGUGCAAGUAAUAGAUGUAUAUGCUUCCAGGUGGCAAAUGUAAAGGUUGGAAUUUACAAGUUGUCUUACUGGAUAAGGUGCAGAACUAUUUUAGAUAAUUGGCAAAUGCUGAAUCUACACAAUUAAAUCAAUUGACUAAAGAUUCUAUUUUGUUUGUUAAUCUAAUGAAUUGUUAGAAAAAAAACUUGACCAUGCAUUACCGCAAGCAACGUUGGUACUACGGAUAAGCACAUCUCUUGAAUUCUGUAAGUGAAUUCCGUCUGUGUUGGGACUGUCUCCAGGAGAUGAAACACUGAAGUUAUACACUGAAACUCCAAUGCAAGUAUCAAACUUGAGGUGGCACUGAGGACUGUUUUGAAUUGUUAUGCCUGUGACGGACACAUUAAAGCUUCCAUAAAACCUUAGUGCCUGCAGUAAGAAAGUGUGAUUUGUAAAGGUUGAAGGGUCAGGAAGUUCGAGGCUGAAGUCCUGAUUGUUGUAGUUGCUCUUACCGUUGGUUUUAUGCUCGGCAUUUUUCCACCUAGAGAGCCCUGGAUCUGGUGCAAAGAAUUUGUGCUUAAAAUCAGAUACAAAAUAAACCUGAUGCAGAUAGCAGGGAGAAGGAAGAGCGAUAAUUACAGGAAUUGAUGGAUUUCUUCCUACUGUUCCGUUCAACGGGACAAUUAGUUUUGAUUCGCUGUCUACAGGAUGUUGAAGUGGGGAAUCUUGCCACCAUGCUGCACCUCUUCCAUCAAUUGUGCCACUUCCCUGAAUUGUAAUUCCCACCAGCUUUGUAAACUGAAGCCACUGUAAAGUACCUGAGCCCCAGGCACGAGUGUUUGUUGGUGCAAUUAUUGUGCCAUCUAACUGCAAAAGAUUUGAUGGCUUAGUUAUGGGUAAUCUGUAAUAUGAGUUGCUACAGAAAUGUCUAAUGGAAGGAAGGGGGAGGCGGGUCUUCAACCUAGGUAGAGAACCUGAUUGACCACACAAGACCACCCUGGGGUGGAAUAUUUUACAAUGCAAUGCUGGAGGCAGAAAUAUGUCAUUGGUUUUUUUCAUCCAAAGUUUCUGAAAUCAUGUUUCUUGGUGAUUGAAGCUUCGGAUUGUCAUACAGAUCAAAUUUACUGUAAUCAUGAGCAUUGGGCAUUUAGGUGUCGGUGGCAAGGAGGGGGGGGCUGAAUCAAUUGUGAAUCAAAACAUUUCAGUAUGUUGAGAAGUGACUAAAAUUUUCUUCAUUUCUCUGCAGAUGUUUGUAGGAAGAAUUUACCUGGAAUACAAUGUCAUGCUGACAAUAAGGGCCAGAGAACGAAAUUGGGCCCACAAGGAAUACAGAAUCUGAUGGGACAACAAUCGUUGAUGCCUCAACUUUACAAGCGGCUGCCCAUGCUGCUUGGAACGCCUGUAACAUAAAAUAUUAUUCCACAAGAAACUCAUCAGUGUUUGUUGUUUUCAAUUUGUUAAUAGCCUCCACGAUUCAGGUUAGAAUUAACUGUAAAAAUUCUUCCUUCUCUAUAGCUCCUCGUCUGUCUUUCUUUUUCUAAUUUUUAUACAAAAGAAUUUAGGCGAGAUUAUAUGGGCAUACAUGAAUUUUUUAAGUUAAUUAGUUGUUGGUUUAGUGGAGAAGCAUAUGCAAUCAUUCUUAGUAUCUCCGGUGCAAACUGCCAUAACGAGAAUCACUCACAUGCGUGGUCCCUCCAUGAUUUUGUUUGCGAGUGUCUGGCCGUCCUUUUUGCGGUUACUUUUUGCCACUAUAUAAUUCUGUGCAGCUUAGAAUAUGUCACAGUUACCUACCUUUUUGUCCUCGCCGUAGCGAUCGAACUUGUUUAUGAUGAAAGUUGACCACAGAAUCAAGGGGAUAAUAUAAUACCCUCUCCGAUAGGGCUUUCUGAACUGGCUGGCUGGCUACCAUGGCAUGGAUGGGUCACACUACUUUCUCUCGUCUUGUGAAUAUGUUAUUAUUCUACGUUGUCCUAAAGAAAGGAUGCUUCUUCAUUUUUUUUUUUUUUUUGAUGAAUAUUCUCACUUGGAAAUCAUGACAUGAAAACGACGAUGCAUUUGGAUCGUGACAGAGUACUUAAUGCGUUAUUGAUCGACUAGCAGAAGUUAAUAAUGAAUUUUGAAGAAUUUGAACUUCGUUUGUAUGUGUGCAACAUUUAAAGCCUUUAGUACAUACAUUAAAUACUUGUGGGAUUCACUAUAAUUAAUUAGAGUGACUCUGUAUCGGACCAUAUGCCCUCUGAUACCAGGUUUCUCCUUAGAAUCUGGCUCUGAUACCAGACUUUAUCAGAGCCGCAUGUACUAACACUUGUUGAUGCAAAAAAUUAAACAAAUAAAGUUGCUUUAGAAGUGACAUGCAUGGUGCUCACUGUGCUUGGAAUGAAGCGAGUUUAGUAGGAAAUUCUAUGAGCAUAGACAGGGUGACUGCAUUGAAAUGCUUUCAUUUGUUUAGUUAGUCAAUUCCUGCCUGCGACGAAGGAAAAGAAAAAGAAACGAGUGGUGGUGGUGGUGGUGGUGGUGGUGGUCCAGGUUCUUUUUAUCGAGUGAUGGCCGCAUUAUCAAUGCAUGGUAAGCUUUGCUGUCCAAGUUGAAAGCAUGAAAAUAAUUUGAAUUACCUUGGUAUCAUCUGUGGUUCCAUCCCCCUUGGCUCCAAAAUUUAACACAUUGAAGAUGGAAGUAGAAGGUGCAUUUCCAUAACCUUUCUGUGGUGGCCUUGGUGCGAGGAUGGGAGGUGAUGGCCUUGAUGAUAUCGGUGGUGAUGGUGUUGAAGAGGGUGGUGAGAAUGCCGGUGGUGCUUUUGGGGAUGGAGUUUUCUUUUUCGAUUUGUUAACAUGGCCAUGAUGGUAACCAGUGCCAUGAAUUUUUCCUUUCUUCUUGGACAAAGAAACUCCAAUGCCUCUGCUCUGCCUCCAAUGCUUGCCUCUUCUUGCAUAGCAACCUUCCAUGCUUGAAGACCAAAUAAGAAGAACAAUGAUCAGCAAGAAUGUGAAGUGCCUGCAGCUGAUAGAGCCCAUGGUUGCUGUAUAUUAUAUUGGGGAAGAAAAAGGUGGAGGAGGAGGAGGAGGGGGUAGGGCGUUUGGGUUCUCUACUUCCAAAGUAUAACCAACGGAGGGGUUUAUAUAGAAAGGAGGAUUUAUGGGUUAAUAAAAGUCUAAGUACUUGGGUAGAUGAUCAAACACACUAUUUGAUAAUGCUAGGCAUUCAUGUUAUAUUCUCCUUUUUCUCUUUCAUUCAUUAUUUGUAAUAUAUACAUAUAUUUUUUUUCACUUUUUGUGAAUUUGUCUUCACUUUUAUGUAACUCAAACUAACUGGGAGGUCCGUCCCUUGUUGGCAUGCGGAAAUGUAAAGUUAAAAUGUGUCCCGUCCAACGUCCCAUGCAGAACCUAUCAGCUUAAUUUUUUUCAUUGCCUGUUUAGGCACUUUGUUCCACUAAACAAUGCUAAGAAUUGUUGGCUUAUACAACUACAAAUUUUUCUUUGUUCAUCAAUGAAUUGUAAUCAUGCGAUCAAUCUCAAAAUAUCGUGUGGUGCAUAUUUUUCUUUUGUGGGUGCUUUAAUUGCAUUUGGCGAAAUCUUCUAUCGGAUCCAACACACUCCGCAGUUAUCAUCUAGUCUUAAUAGUAGUACCUUUCUCUGCAAUUCUUUCAUGGAAUGUGGUAUUACCAGCGACCGUUUGGUAUUGACAUAGUUAAUGCUGUUUUUUUUUUUCUUCUCAUGGCAUUUAAAAAAGCCAAAAGAACACGUGAGUGGGUCUAUAAGUUGUCAAGGGCACUGAUUAUAACAGCUCUUUAUGAUCACAUGCAACGUUCACGGGCUUCAGUUUUGUACUUUGUCUUCUGAACCGGCAGCACUGGCCUCACGCUGGCCUAAGCCUCAAAUCCCCUCUCAUUUCUGAUAAGCCUAAGCUUCAAUGCCUCCCUUUAGCUUUUCUUCCAUACUCUUCCCUUGAUGGUUCUUUUGGCAUUUCCCCAAUGCCCUUUUCGUUUCUUCCUCCCUUGCAAUGUUUUCUGGGUUGGAAAGGGUUGUGGGGCUCGUACGUGUGAACUAGAUGAAUUUACUGAAUACAUAGCGGAAAGGCGAAAUGAAUGAUCUUUUUCUUUUCUUCUUCGUUUUUAUUUUUCCUGAACUGAAAAUGAAAAGAGGGAACCAUAAGUUGCGAAUUAUGAUAGUCAUAAUGGAAUGUAGCUAGCUAGGUGUGCAUGUCUUUAACUUUUUGUGAGCAAGGAGCUUUCUUGAA
RNAcentral lists this long non-coding RNA (38609 nucleotides) under Coffea arabica (coffee). RNAcentral describes it as "long non-coding RNA (CARA_LNC007977)". Lineage: Eukaryota; Viridiplantae; Streptophyta; Magnoliopsida; Gentianales; Rubiaceae. The record is from RNAcentral.